Molecule: ribosomal RNA, 390 nt
Filed under: Triticum aestivum (bread wheat)
Lineage: Eukaryota; Viridiplantae; Streptophyta; Magnoliopsida; Poales; Poaceae
Description: partial small subunit ribosomal RNA
Source: RNAcentral
AUGUUAAAAAAAGUUUGGACUCACCAUCUGACCUCCCCUUCCCUUACCGAGGCAGCCACCACAACCUCAAGCCGAGCUCCCGCGCCCACCGGCGAGAUCUGGUCCCGAACCCCCGCAGCAGGGCAUCGUCGGAGGGCUGGCCACGACCACGCCGAUCCGGAGCCCGGAGAGCCCUGGUGCAGAUCAACGCGGAGAGCCCAACCAGCUCCCGCGCGCUCAGGCCCGGCCACCACAAGCCCAUACGCAGACGUGAAGCAUCGGUCGCAGGCGAGACUGCCGGAGAAAUCGGAUCGUCAAGAUGCUGCAGAAGAAAGCUGCUGCAGAUUGGGGGUCGGAUCCGUGCUCGAUCCAGGCGCCACGGUCAAGGAAAGGGUGUUGGUGCUUUGGUGA